AUCCAGAUGACGAGUCCCAAACAGGACAAAAUGCACAUCCUGGUU
Trichobilharzia regenti is the source of this 45-nucleotide non-coding RNA. Lineage: Eukaryota; Metazoa; Platyhelminthes; Trematoda; Strigeidida; Schistosomatidae. The record is from Rfam.